AGUUUAUUGAAGGAUAAAAGUGUUUUCAUAAACUGUGUUUUCAUAAUGUAUUCUCAUUGCUGUGUUACAAGGAGUGUUAAUGGAGGAACAAAGAAGAGUCUGUUUAAAAUGGCACACAUACACACACACACAGAUUCACAUGACUGACAGUCACAAGAUCCACACUAACAAAUAAGGCGUUGGUCAAGACCACAUGAUUGUCUCAUGUUACUGUUUGUUGAAAUAAAAAGACUGCACUGAGAGAAGGCGGGGGAGAGUUGGCUCUCCUAGCUGAGAGUUGGCUCUCCUAGCUGAGAGUUGGCUCUCCUAGCUGAGAGUUGGCUCUCCUAGCUGAGAGUUGGUGCUCCUAGCUGAGAGUUGGCUCUCCUAGCUGAGAGUUGGCUCUCCUAGCUGAGAGUUGGCUCUCCUAGCUGAGAGUUGGUUAAGGAGUUGACAUGACAUGUCACUCGCUGAUUCUCCUUGCAGCAAGUAAACUUGAAACAUGAGUCCUGUUAUCUUUGUUCACUGGGUUCUGGUAGAUUUGAACCGAGCUGGGGUUUACCCUUACAAAGUAAUAUAGAUACACCACAUUAAUUGGUCCUUCGAGCCGGAUUCCAACACAUCGUGACGGGAAGGAGGAGGGAAAAGACACGCCGCAAGUCUGUCGACAGCCGGGAUCAUCAGCCGACCCCGAGAAAGACCCGGGACGCAGAAUUCGUGGCCGGGCCGGUGCUUAUAUGUCCAACCUCCCUCAUCCUCGGCACGAUUGACGGAAUCCAACCGGACCAGUGACCACAGAUAACGGGAUACUCGAGUGCAGACUGGUGACCAGGUCCUCGUGAAGGUGAUUAAGAGGAAGCAUUGGCACUGUCCACGGUGGGACGUUCCCUACACGGUACUGCUGACAACACCGACUGCACUAAAAAUCGCCGAAAGAACUACGUGGAUACAUCAGAGCCACUGCAAAAAGAUAAUACCUCUCCAACUUAACGACGGAUAAGUGGUGGAAGUCCGGCUACAAAGGGCGGUGUUUCAUUAGGAAAUACUGGUCUCAACCCCGGUGAAGAAAACAACAGAACCACUAUCACAACUAGACUUUGUUGGGAAAGGUGUUGUGUGUAGUGACCCUGCUGGGUCUGACGCUAAUGACUAUAAAGACACUGUAACCAGCUAGUAAUUAUGAAAAACAGGAGGGAAUUUUAGAGUUUAUUGAAGGAUAAAUGUGUUUUCAUAAACUGUGUUUUCAUAAUGUAUUCUCAUUGCUGUGUUACAAGGAGUGUUAAUGGAGGAACAAAGAAGAGUCUGUUUAAAA
Gymnodraco acuticeps is the source of this 1291-nucleotide long non-coding RNA. RefSeq lists it as uncharacterized. The transcript is spliced from 2 exons. Lineage: Eukaryota; Metazoa; Chordata; Actinopteri; Perciformes; Bathydraconidae. The record is from RefSeq and is a predicted model, not a curated record.